CCUACGGGGUGCAGCAGUGGGGAAUAUUGGACAAUGGGCGAAAGCCUGAUCCAGCCAUGCCGCGUGUGUGAAGAAGGCCUUCGGGUUGUAAAGCACUUUCAGUGGGGAAGAAAGCCUUGGGGCUAAUACCCUCGAGGAAGGACAUCACCCACAGAAGAAGCACCGGCUAACUCCGUGCCAGCAGCCGCGGUAAUACGGAGGGUGCGAGCGUUAAUCGGAAUUACUGGGCGUAAAGCGCGCGUAGGCGGUCUGAUAAGCCGGUUGUGAAAGCCCCGGGCUCAACCUGGGAACGGCAUCCGGAACUGUCAGGCUAGAGUGCAGGAGAGGAAGGUAGAAUUCCCGGUGUAGCGGUGAAAUGCGUAGAGAUCGGGAGGAGUACCAGUGGCGAAGGCGGCCUUCUGGACUGACACUGACGCUGAGGUGCGAAAGCGUGGGUAGCAAACAGGAUUAGAUACCCUUGUAGUC
This 465-nucleotide ribosomal RNA is filed under the name Vreelandella stevensii. RNAcentral's name for it is "partial 16S ribosomal RNA". It matches the Rfam family "Bacterial small subunit ribosomal RNA", at positions 338 to 795 of the family's 1533-position model. The record is from RNAcentral. Lineage: Bacteria; Pseudomonadati; Pseudomonadota; Gammaproteobacteria; Oceanospirillales; Halomonadaceae.